Alosa alosa (allis shad) is the source of this 904-nucleotide long non-coding RNA. RefSeq lists it as uncharacterized. The record is from RefSeq and is a predicted model, not a curated record. The transcript is spliced from 5 exons. NCBI's taxonomy places the organism in Eukaryota, Metazoa, Chordata, Actinopteri, Clupeiformes, Clupeidae.
UGUGUGUGUGUGUGUGUGUGUGUGUGUGUGUCUGAAAGAAGCCAUGGAACCCUGGUUUUCGAGGUUGUUUUCUGUCUUCUUUAUGUGUAAAGAACAUUCAGAUGAUGCCACUCACGUGGAUGACUUUGUGCCUGAUUCCUUUGACUGCAGUUGUGACAUUAGCUGCUGUGACUCCAGACCCUGAGCUCUUCAUUCUGACGGGUUCUGAAGGUCCGGUCUCGGCUCCAGAAGGAUCUUCUGUCACUCUGCCCUGUGGACUCUCCCCUUCCUCUAGUGCAGUACCUCUGCAGGUGCGCUGGCACCGGCCCAAUGCGUUCAGAACCCCGGUUCUGCUGUAUGAUAACCGACGGGUCCAGGGGGAACCUGCAGACCCUCGGUACCGGGGCGGGUCUCUCUGGUGGGGGAACUGGAGAAGGGGAACGUGUCCCUCAGACUGGAGAACCUCACUCUGGAGGACAUGGGGGAUUAUGUGUGCUACGCUAAGAGCACCAAAUGGUACAAUGAAUUCAGCAUCAGGCUCAAAGUGAGAGUCCAAGGCAAUACUCCAGUUGUCUCAUCGACUGAAGGAGGUGCAGGACAGGUGAUUGUUACCUGUGAGUCGGAUGGCUGGUCUCCAGAGCCAACCGUCACCUGGAGAGAUAGAAAAGGAACAGAGAUCCAUCAGAACUACAGCAACAUCCACUUCCUCAAAGAUGAGGGGGGUCUGGUGGCAGUGAGCUCCUGGCUGCUCUACAGUCCCUCUGAGGCCGAGUGGCUCUCCUGCUCUGUGGGUCUGUCUGAUCAGGAGAGGAAAGAGAGCAGGGUGGCACUACGCACCACAACCACACACACACCAACACACACAAACGGUCAGUUUUUAUACACCAUAAUAAGGACAUAUUAUAUGCUGAUGCUGUUUGUGAUG